UGGCCGGGCUCUGCCGCACAAUGGGAAUGCUGCUUCUGAGAACAAGGGCCGGGCUCCAGAUCCAGGCUCGCACUGUUCUUGCAAGCGCUAGCAGAGCGAAAGAGGCCCCCCGCCUCCUCCUUUUCCUCCUCCUCAUCCUCGUCCUCCAGCCCAGUCAGAUCUAUAAAGCUAAGUCCAUUGGGAGUCCUCCCUACUGGUGAAGAAGAGACCCAAAACUACGGCCCGGGAAUUUGGCCCGAUAAGCCACGCAAGGAAAACCAAGCGGGAGAAGAUUGUCGAUCGCCCAGAUUAAUCGGACAGAAGGAACGGACAAUGAGUUGCGCCUUGAAUAAGUAGAAUGAGAACAAAACAGACUGCCUUUAAGAAAUUACAAAGUCUCUGUCAACAAAAAAGUUAUUUAAAAAAAAGAAAGAAAGUAUAAAGUCAAAAAAUUUAGCAGAUGAAAGGAAAGAAGGGUCAAGAUUUCAAAGAAACCAAUGGAAAAAUGUAAAGGAAGGAAAUACAGCAGUGCCAGACCUUAAACUACAUUGAAAGGCAGUAAAUAUCAAAACCGGCUAAGAAAUAGAAAGAUGGGGUUAGUGGAACAGAAUAGAAACAUAAUUCAUAGCAAUGAAAAAUUUCAGUAAUCUUGUAUUUGAUAAAUUAGAGAUUUAAGCUUUGUGGGUAAGAAUUCCUUAUUUGGUGAAAAUUUCGGGGGAAGCUGGAAAGCUAUCUGGCAGAAAUUGAGCACAGACCAGUAUCUUAGACCAUGUACCGAGAUAAAACCAAAGGGGGUACAUGACAGAUAUGAAAGGAGAUACCACAAGAAAAUCUGAAGUAUAUGGAACAUGUUGCCCAAUAGACUCAUAGUUAGGAGAAUACUAAGAAAGAAAGAGCACCGUGAGGAUAAUUUCCCAUUAUUUUCAAUUAGAUGAAAAGAAAAUUUAUACAAAUAAAACCAAUGAAGCCAAGAUUAGAAGGAGAGCAGAAAAUUGGGAGGUAAGUUUAAGAGAAUCUAUUAGAUAAAGGUCCUAUUUCUCAUACAUACAAAGAACUUUGUCAAAUUUAUAAGAAUACAAAUUAUUCCCCAAUUGAUAAAUGGUUAAAGGAUAUAAACAGGUAGUUUUUCAAUGAAGACAUCAAAACUAUAUUGUCAAGUGAAAACAUGCUCUAAAUCAUUACUGAUGAAAUACAAAUUAAAACAAUUUAAAGAUACCAUUUUAUACUUAUCAGAGUAUCUAAAAUGACAGAUGCCCUUCAAUUGGAGAAUGGCUAAACAAGAGUAGUAUAUGACUGGGACAGAAUACUAUGGUGAUGUAAGAAAUGAUGAGCUGCUCAACAAUGAGAUGAUUCAAAACAGUUCCAAUUGUUCAGUAAUGAAAGGAGCCAUCUAUACCCAGAGAGAGGACUGUGGCUACUGUGUGUGGACCCAACAUAGUAAUCUCACUCUUAAUGUUAUUGUUUGCUUUUUGUUUUCCUUCUCCAGUUUUUUUUUUUUUCUUUCUAGAUCUGAUUUUUCUUGUGCGGCAAGAUAACUAUAUAAUUAUGUAUACAUAUAUUGGAUUUAACAUAUUUAACAUGUAUGGGACUACCUGCCAUCUAAGGGGAGGGGGUAGUUUUGCAAAAGUCAUUGUUGAAAAUAUUACCUAUGCAUAUGUUUUGUAAAUACAAACCUAUAAUAAAAAAUGAUUGAGUUGGAUGAUUUUAGAAAAACAUGGAAAGUCCUGCACCUAUAAAAGAAGAUGCUAUUCAUCUUCAGAGGAAGAACUGAGAAGUAGAAAUAUGUAUAGUAUAGUAUGGUCUGACAUAUAUGCAUAUGUAUGUAUACAUGUAUACACAUAAUUGUAGCCUUCCCUAAGGCAGGCUGGGAAGGAAUAAAAUAAAAUUGA
This is a long non-coding RNA of Sarcophilus harrisii (Tasmanian devil), 1868 nucleotides long. RefSeq lists it as uncharacterized. The record is from RefSeq and is a predicted model, not a curated record. Lineage: Eukaryota; Metazoa; Chordata; Mammalia; Dasyuromorphia; Dasyuridae. The transcript has 2 exons.